CGAAGGAUCCAAGCGUUAUCCGGAUUUAUUGGGUUUAAAGGGUGCGUAGGCGGGCUAUUAAGUCAGUGGUGAAAUCCUGCAGCUUAACUGUAGAAUUGCCAUUGAUACUGAUGGUCUUGAGUACACUUGAGGUGGGCGGAAUGUGUCAUGUAGCGGUGAAAUGCUAAGAUAUGACACAGAACACCGAUUGCGAAGGCAGCUCACUAAAUUGUAACUGACGCUGAGGCACGAAAGCGUGGGGAUCAAACAGGAUUAGAUACCCUGGUAGUCCACGCCCUAAACGAUGAUUACUCGAUGUGUGCAAUACACCGUACGCGUCUGAGCGAAAGCAUUAAGUAAUCCACCUGGGGAGUACGACCGCAAGGUUG
Molecule: ribosomal RNA, 368 nt
Filed under: uncultured organism
Description: bacterial SSU rRNA
Rfam family: Bacterial small subunit ribosomal RNA
Source: RNAcentral